RNAcentral lists this ribosomal RNA (497 nucleotides) under uncultured bacterium. RNAcentral's name for it is "partial 16S ribosomal RNA". It matches the Rfam family "Bacterial small subunit ribosomal RNA", at positions 28 to 507 of the family's 1533-position model. The record is from RNAcentral.
GACGAACGCUGGCGGCGUGCCUAAUACAUGCAAGUAGAACGCUGAAGAGAGGAGCUUGCUCUUCUUGGAUGAGUUGCGAACGGGUGAGUAACGCGUAGGUAACCUGCCUGGUAGCGGGGGAUAACUAUUGGAAACGAUAGCUAAUACCGCAUAAAAUGGAUUAUAGCAUGAUAAUCCAUAGAAAGGUGCAACUGCAUCACUACCAGAUGGACCUGCGUUGUAUUAGCUAGAUGGUGGGGUAACGGCUCACCAAGGCGACGAUACAUAGCCGACCUGAGAGGGUGAUCGGCCACACUGGGACUGGGACACGGCCCAGACUCCUACGGGAGGCAGCAGUAGGGAAUCUUCGGCAAUGGACGGAAGUCUGACCGAGCAACGCCGCGUGAGUGAAGAAGGUAGUCGGAUCGUAAGGCUCUGUUGUAAGAGAAGAACGAGUGUGAGAGUGGAAAGUUCACACUGUGACGGUAUCUUACCAGAAAGGGACGGCUAACUACGUG